UAAUACGUAGGAGGCAAGCGUUAUCCGGAUUUACUGGGCGUAAAGAGGGCGCGGGCGGUUCUUCAAGUCGGAUGUAAAAUCUCCCGGCUUAACUGGGAGGGAUCAUUCGAUACUGUUGGGCUAGAGGACAGCAGAGGGAGGUGGAAUUCCCGGUGUAGUGGUGAAAUGCGUAGAUAUCGGGAGGAACACCAGUGGCGAAGGCGGCCUCCUGGGCUGUGCCUGACGCUGAGGCCCAAAGGCGUGGGGAGCGAACAGGAUCAGAUACCCUGGUAGUCCACGCAGUAAACUAUGGACACUAGGUAUAGGGAGUAUCGACCCUCUCUGUGCCGAAGCCAACGCUUUAAGUGUCCCGCCUGGGGAGUACGGCCGCAAGGCUA
Molecule: ribosomal RNA, 377 nt
Filed under: uncultured Chloroflexota bacterium
Lineage: Bacteria; Bacillati; Chloroflexota
Description: bacterial SSU rRNA
Rfam family: Bacterial small subunit ribosomal RNA
Source: RNAcentral